AGCUGGUUGGUGAGGUAAGAGCCCACCAAGGCGAUGAUGGGUAGCCGGCCUGAGAGGGUGUACGGCCACACUGGGACUGAGAUACGGCCCAGACUCCUACGGGAGGCAGCAGCUAAGAAUAUUCCGCAAUGGACGAAAGUCUGACGGAGCGACGCCGCGUGGAUGAAGAAGGCCGAAAGGUUGUAAAGUUCUUUUGUUGGGGAAGAAUAACCAUGGGAGGGAAUGCCCGUGGGAUGACAUGAACCGACGAAUAAGCCCCGGCUAACUACGUGCCAGCAGCCGCGGUAACACGUAGGGGGCGAGCGUUGUUCGGAAUUACUGGGCGUAAAGGGCAUGUAGGCGGUCUUGUAAGCUUGGCGUGAAAGACCACGGCUCAACCGUGGGAUUGCGUUGAGAACUGCGAGGCUUGAGUGACGGAGAGGGAGCUAGAAUUCCUGGUGUAGGGGUGGAAUCUGUAGAGAUCAGGAAGAAUACCAAUGGCGAAGGCAAGCUCCUGGCCGAUGACUGACGCUGAGGUGCGAAAGUGUGGGGAUCAAACAGGAUUAGAUACCCUGGUAGUCCACACUGUAAACGAUGUGCACUAGGUGCUGGUACGGAUGUAUCAGUGCCGUAGCUAACGUGAUAAG
RNAcentral lists this ribosomal RNA (626 nucleotides) under uncultured bacterium. RNAcentral describes it as "bacterial SSU rRNA". It matches the Rfam family "Bacterial small subunit ribosomal RNA", at positions 243 to 864 of the family's 1533-position model. The record is from RNAcentral.